UUAAAUUGAAGAGUUUGAUCAUGGCUCAGAUUGAACGCUGGCGGCAGGCCUAACACAUGCAAGUCGAACGGUAACAGGAAGCAGCUUGCUGCUUUGCUGACGAGUGGCGGACGGGUGAGUAAUGUCUGGGAAACUGCCCGAUGGAGGGGGAUAACUACUGGAAACGGUAGCUAAUACCGCAUAACGUCGCAAGACCAAAGAGGGGGACCUUCGGGCCUCUUGCCAUCGGAUGUGCCCAGAUGGGAUUAGCUAGUAGGUGGGGUAAAGGCUCACCUAGGCGACGAUCCCUAGCUGGUCUGAGAGGAUGACCAGCCACACUGGAACUGAGACACGGUCCAGACUCCUACGGGAGGCAGCAGUGGGGAAUAUUGCACAAUGGGCGCAAGCCUGAUGCAGCCAUGCCGCGUGUAUGAAGAAGGCCUUCGGGUUGUAAAGUACUUUCAGCGGGGAGGAAGGGAGUAAAGUUAAUACCUUUGCUCAUUGACGUUACCCGCAGAAGAAGCACCGGCUAACUCCGUGCCAGCAGCCGCGGUAAUACGGAGGGUGCAAGCGUUAAU
Molecule: ribosomal RNA, 557 nt
Filed under: Escherichia coli
Lineage: Bacteria; Pseudomonadati; Pseudomonadota; Gammaproteobacteria; Enterobacterales; Enterobacteriaceae
Description: bacterial SSU rRNA
Rfam family: Bacterial small subunit ribosomal RNA
Source: RNAcentral